UACGGGGGGGGCAAGCGUUGUUCGGGAUUACUGGGCGUAAAGGGCUCGUAGGUGGCCAACUAAGUCAGACGUGAAAUCCCUCGGCUUAACCGGGGAACUGCAUCUGAUACUGGAUGGCUUGAGUUUGGGAGAGGGAUGCGGAAUUCCAGGUGUAGCGGUGAAAUGCGUAGAUAUCUGGAGGAACACCGGUGGCGAAGGCGGCAUCCUGGACCAACACUGACACUGAGGAGCGAAAGCCAGGGGAGCAAACGGG
This 253-nucleotide ribosomal RNA is filed under the name uncultured bacterium. RNAcentral describes it as "partial 16S ribosomal RNA". It matches the Rfam family "Bacterial small subunit ribosomal RNA", at positions 524 to 776 of the family's 1533-position model. The record is from RNAcentral.